Molecule: ribosomal RNA, 547 nt
Filed under: uncultured archaeon
Lineage: Archaea
Description: bacterial SSU rRNA
Rfam family: Archaeal small subunit ribosomal RNA
Source: RNAcentral
GCAGCAGGCGCGAAAACUCUACAAUGCAGGCAACUGCGAUAGGGGAACAUCGAGCGAUACUCAUCUUGGGUGUCUGUCCUCCCGUCUAAAAAACGGGAGUUAGCAAGGGCCGGGCAAGACCGGUGCCAGCCGCCGCGGUAAUACCGGCGGCUCGAGUGGUGGCCGAUAUUAUUGAGUCUAAAGGGUCCGUAGCCGGCUUUGCAAGUCUUUUGGGAAAUCCAGCGGCUUAACCGUUGGUCGUCCGGGAGAUACUACAUUGCUUGGGACUGGGAGAGGUAGGAGGUACUCAGGGGGUAGGAGUGAAAUCCUGUAAUCCUUUGGGGACCACCGGUGGCGAAGGCGUCCUACCAGAACAGGUCCGACGGUGAGGGACGAAAGCUAGGGGCACGAACCGGAUUAGAUACCCGGGUAGUCCUAGCCGUAAACGAUGCUCGCUAGGUGUCACAACAAUCGUGAAUUGUUGUGGUGCCGUAGGGAAGCCGUGAAGCGAGCCACUUGGGAAGUACGACCGCAAGGUUGAAACUUAAAGGAAUUGGCGGGGGAGCAC